Molecule: ribosomal RNA, 1350 nt
Filed under: Triticum aestivum (bread wheat)
Lineage: Eukaryota; Viridiplantae; Streptophyta; Magnoliopsida; Poales; Poaceae
Description: partial small subunit ribosomal RNA
Source: RNAcentral
AUGUCCUGGUUCCCUCCGCACGCCCCCCACGACUGCGGCGAUCCUCCCCCAAAGUCGGUCGUCCUCGACACCCUGGUCUACGCCGACGACCGCACCAACGCCUCCACCGCCGAGGGCUUCACCAGCAACGGCGACGCCAUCCGCCUCACCUUCUGGCCCGCGCAUCCGCCGCUCAUCUCCUACUUCACCGUCCACCUACCCACCCUCCUCCAGGACGGAUCCGCCACCUCGCUCCUCCUUCUGCCACGCCUUGUCCGCGCCGACGGCGACCUCGCCCUCUUCCGCGUCAUCAUCGGCUCUUCAUACAUCGACCGGGACCACAACAACUACAUCAUCUACCGUGCCGGCGUCAACAAGCUUGAGGUGCUCCCCACCCACCCCACCCGCUUGUUCGCCGACCCGUCAGUUGCCCUCCUGCGCUGCCCCGACGACGGCAGGUUCUUGGUCGCCAAUCUCCGUUCAACUUGCGGCCUUGGGCAGUACGCCCUCGACCUGUUUGACUCCCGGUCAGGCACAUGGAACACCAGGUCCAUGCGUACAGAACCUCCACACGAGGACUGCUACUACCGCACUCCGACCAAGGUGAUCGCCCUCGGUGGCGAUCGCGGUUCAGUCGGCUGGGUCGACCUAUGGAAUGGCAUCCUCAUCGGUGAUCUGCUCCCCGGCGGCGACGGCGAUGACAACAACGUCCUCCGCUUCAUCCGUUUGCCCGUGCUUUUGGCGCCCAACAAGAUGGACCCGUUCUUUUUGACCUGUGACCGGGACGUCUCUGUCGGCAGAGACGGCUCCAUCAAAUACUCAGAGGUGUGGACUCAUCCUGUCCCUGGCUCGACCUACAUCUCCGAGGACUGGGGUGCUGCCAUACUGACAUGGCUGGAGUCCAAGAAGAAGUGGCACAUCGACCUCAAGCUCAAAGCCUCUGACAUCAUCGUGGACGAGACUCACUCUCAGUUGCUUCCUCAGCAUGAUGUCAAGGCCACAACGAAGAAUGCAACCUUGAGCAGACUUCACACAGGGCAUCCUACUCUCAGCUUGCAUGAUGAUGAUGUUGUUUACAUCAUGGCCAAGGUUUACCACAUGGACUACGACUUGUGGAUGCUUGCUGUUGACAUGAGGAACAAGACUCUAAAAGGAGUGGCUGCUCUCACCAGUAAAAGAAGCUUGGGUUUUAGAUUCAUGUACCUGCAAAGUGACCUCUCCAACCAUCUGGUGGCCACAAGCGAAAACACCGAGGUCUUCAACCUUCCGCCCAAAAGCAAAGAAAGAAGAAUCCUUCUAAAACUGCCAAGCAACAACCUGGGAAGACUCUUGCUAACAGCUGUCGUGUGGAACAAGAAGAACAGGAGCUGA